RNA transcript from Zea mays, 12793 nucleotides. RefSeq lists it as uncharacterized. The transcript has 26 exons. The record is from RefSeq and is a predicted model, not a curated record. Lineage: Eukaryota; Viridiplantae; Streptophyta; Magnoliopsida; Poales; Poaceae.
ACCUUCCUCUUUGUCUCAAAAGGAAAAAGAAGACCGCAUCCCCCGGAACUCAGGAUCCCCGUGGGGCUCUCCGUGCCUGAUGCCGCCAUUGGCAAAACCCUGAAAGCCCUAAACCUUCCGAGACAACCAUGGACGAGCUCGUGUCGGUGGCGCUGGAGGAGGUGUGCGCGCGCCUCGCGCCGGGGAUCCCCGUCGUGGACCUAUGGCCAGCGCUCCGUGGCACGCUCGAUGCGACGGGGCUCCCGCUAGGCCCAGCAGUCAAGCGCGCCCUGUGGGCUCGCAUCCUUGCGCUCCGCGUCGUCAACCUGGUGGAGGGGGAUGGGGACGGGGUGCCCAUCUCUGCCGGAGACCCGGCGGAGAAGGACUUCGAGGAGGCCGAACGGCGGGGCAUGCGGCUCGUGGCAAGCGCGGGGAUCAGGGACAACUUCCUGGGGUUAUACGAGCGCAGAUUCGCGAAGUCGGAGUUGAGUGCCGUCCAGAAGGCGACGUUGGAGUGUGUUGCGGCAAGCAGGACUUCAGGGGUACCACAGAGUGAACUUUGCAAAAAAUUUAGAAUGAAAGGAAACAAUUUCCAUUUUAUUGCAAAGAGUCUUGAAUCACAACGACUAAUAGUUAGACAAUCAACUAUUAUAAAGAUGAAAGAUCACGGAGCUGAGAGGGAAGAUGCCUCGCAGAAUAAACAUAUUAUCAAUACCAAUUCACUAUAUCUCUCCCGAUAUGCCAAGGACUUGAAUAUGACUUCACAGCAAAGAAUUGAGAUUACAAAGCCUGAACUACUUGGGAGCAAUGAAGAGGCCAAUGUAGAUGCUUUCCGAGUAGAUGGAGCUUUUGAUGUUAACUCCAAGAAUGAUAUAUCUAUUCAUGAUUAUCUUCCAGCAAUGAAAGCCAUAUGUGAUAAACUUGAAGAAGCAAGUGGAAAGGCUCUUGUUGUGUCAGAUAUAAAAGUUGAUCUCGACUACAGGAUGGCAUAUGGGCACAGAGCAUGGAGAAAUGUAUUGCAUAGAUUAAUAGAUGCACGACUUGUGGAGAUAUUUGAUGCCGAAGAUGAUGAUAAGGUUGUCCGUUGUUUGCGUCUACUGAAAAAUUUUGAUCCAAAUGAGUUUCAGCCAAAAAGUAUAGCUUCAAAUUUUAAAUUUGUUAAAAAAGGUCAGGCAACUGAUCAAAUUUUGGAACUUCCAUUAGAGAACUGUAUAUAUGAUAUGAUCAGUAGCCAAGGGACAAAAGGUAUUACACUUGUUGAGAUUGGCAAACAUCUUGGACUCAACAAUUCAAAAAAACUUCAUAAACGAGUAUCAUCCAUGCUAAAAAAAUUCAACCUAACAUGGGAAGCAGAAGUUCCAGACAAGACAUCGCAGUACCGAAUUUGGACUUCAAAAAACUUCUCACUCUACAAAGCUGGUACUGCUCUGCAAAAUUUUGAGGCACUCUCAGAAGACUGUGAUGAUUGUUCGGAUUUGUGGUCCCUAGUUUCAUCUAAAGAUUUGGAAUCACCUAGUUCACAGGGCAAAUUACUCUUGCUUGAAGAAGAGAACCAUGACAAACCAAUUGGACAUCAUAUCCAGAACAACCGUGAUGCUUCUGCUGCAGUUUCCCAGUUAGUUGAAGAAGAUAAACUUGCUUCGAAUCAGAGGAGGCGUCGGUGCCGUCCAUUAUCUUCUGAUGAUCAACGCCAUAGAAGGAUUCUACACAUGUUAAAGAAGAAGAAAUUUGUACUGAAGGUGGAGUUACAUAAAUGGUUAGAACGGCUUGAAAAGAAGGACGGGAAAAUAAUGGAUAGGAAGACAUUGACUCGCACGUUGAAUAAGCUUCAGCAAGAGGGAAGCUGUAAAUGUAUCAAAGUCAGUGCUCCAUUGGUGACAAAUUAUGCUCGCAGUCGUCUCUUUGAUGUAAUACUGCAUUCUUCUGUUGGAGACGUGUCACCAGAACUUGUGGAGCAAUUUAGGACCAGACAAAGGAACUUUGACACCGAAUCUCGCGCAGGUGCAGCAGCUAAAGUGAAGCAAAAUCAACAUAUGACUGCCAUACCUGGUCUGAGGAUUUCACGCAGAGUUAAAGUUUACAAACCAUUACUAUUAGAAGCUAUGUAUGCAAAUGGAUUCAUAGGCGCAAAGAUGAUUCGAGCAAAGUUAUUUCAUAAAUUUCUGUGGGCUUAUGUCAAUUCUUUGCCAAAUUGGUGCAAUGCAUUUGGUUGUACCAAAGCAGGGCAGUAUGAUAAGAGCCUUAAUCAAUCAUGCCUGUUAUUUUCUAUGGAAGCAGCUAUGAAAGAAAUGCCCCUUGAACUCUUUCUACAAAUUGUUGGGUCAGCAAAGAAGAUUGAUAACAUGAUAACGUUGUGUAGGCUUGGAAAAACACUUUCAGAAAUACCUACAGAGGAAUACAAUCAGAUCUUGGAUACUCAUGCCAAUGGCCGACUCUCACGUUUAGUAAAUAUUUUGGACAAGCUCAAGCUGGUUCAGCUUGCAAAAGAAUUCUUAGAAGAUGCUGGUGUAUCGUCAAAUGCCAUGUAUACACAUUCGAUGGAGCUCAGGCCUUACAUCGAAGAACCCAUGCCAAGAAUUCUUCCAUCUUCCCAACUGAACAAUCAUCGGAAAAUUCGGCAUGAUUUUGUACUUUCAAAGAAAGAGUUUGUUGAUUCUUAUUGGGAAACACUAGAGUGCUGUUAUUUAACAGCUGGUUUGGCUGACCCGUUAAGUGCCUUCCCUGGCAGUUCUGUCCCGGAGGUUUCUCAUCGUCGUUCAUGGUGUUCACUUAGAGUCAUGACUACUGAACAACGACUGGAGUUGCAACAGCGUAUUAUGGAUGUUGGUGAGAAGGGGAAAAUUCCUUUUAAAGACUGUGUUAGAAUAGCAAGAGAACUGAAUCUUUCUGUAGAGCAGGUACUUCGCCUUUCAUAUGAAAGGCAAUCUCGGCUCCAUGAACAGCCCAGCUUUACUUCUAAACAAAAGCAGCAAAGAGUUGGUUCUGGAUUGACUCCUGUGAGAAGAAAGAGACGUGCCGAUGGGACCAGCCUGAAGCUUCUGAAACGUACAGUACAAGCAAGUGGAUCUGCUGAACAAAUAUUGGAGCAACCUAUUGUUGAUGAAGAAGUACCAAUGAUCAGUCGGUAUGCUAUCUUAAGAAAGAGCUGCAUGAGAAGUAAAAGAUUCUUUUGGACAUGUGAAUCUGAUAGAAAACUGCUGAUGGCAUACAUUAGAGUGCGUGCAGUACUUGGGGCAAGAUAUUAUCGUGUACCUUGGAAGUCUCUCUCUGAUCUUCCAGCUCCACCACAUACAUGUCUUAGAAGGAUGGCACUACUAUUGAAAACAAACGGAAAGAUAAGAGGAGCUGUCAUGUGUUUAUGUAACCUUCUUGGGGAACGGUAUGUUAGAUAUCUUGAAAAGGAAAGGAGUUUGAAAAGGAGAAGAUUGUUUCCCCAGAUUUCAAACAGAAGUCAAGAAAACAGUUUGGAUUCAGAUUGUGAGCAAUUCAAUUGGGAUGACUUUGAAGUUCCAGAGAUAAAGAGUGCACUUAAUGAAGUCCUUGAAUUAAUUCAAACAGAAAAAAUAGAUCAGGCCAAGAGAAUUGGGCCUGUUAAUCAAAAAAACAUUAACAAUGAUAAUGAUGUCACAAAGGACACAAUAUGUUCUCAGGAACUGCCAAAUAAUCAGGCUAUACUAGGUGAAACCAAAACGAGUGCAGUUUCAGAAAGCGGGUUCUGUGAUCCUGAAAAAUCAUGCAGACAUUCAAAUGCAGAAAGUGAAAACAUGGAAGUCUUCUGCAAACCUCAAGAAAAAAUCAUUAAGGAUCACCGAAAUAAGAUUAUUGAAAGAGGCAUAUGGAAAUCAUUGGCUGUUGCAAAUGCCUUGGAGCUUCUGAAGUUGGUUUUCCUCAACACAUCUUUAGGAUCAAAUGUACAAGCUUCACUAGCAGCAACACUGCAGCUUUAUUCAGAGAGCGAGAUUUUUACUGCUGUUUCCUUUCUUAAAGAAAAAAAAUUCUUGGUUACUGGGAGUGGUGGGAAGCCGUACACCCUUUCUUCACAAUUCUUAACCAAUGCUUGUUGUUCACCUUUUCCAUUUGGUUCAGGGAAAAAGGCUUCUAUAUUUUCUAAUUGGCUUAUAGCUCAGCAAAAGAAUACUACAGACAGUGGAGUUUAUUUGUAUCCAGAUAUACAAUGUGGAGAAAUUGUUCAUCUAUUCUCUCUGGUUUUGUCAGGAAACCUUCUCAUUUCACCUUUCUUGCCUAGUGAAGGAGUUGGUGAGGCUGAUGAGCCUAACAGCUCUGGUCCUUUGGUCGUAGAUACCAGCGGUUUGGCUGACAACAGUCAUAAGCGCAAGGCUGAUACAGUGAAACUGAAAAGCAGCAAGGCUAAGAAACCGAAGCCUUUGCCAAAGAUAGAAAGUGACUUUUGCUACCGCCGGGAGAAAGGAUUUCCUGCUAUCCAAAUAGGUCUAAAUCUUCAUAGAAUUCAAACAAGCAAUUUCUUGCAAGAGUUUCAUGGUAAAGAAUCCUCUAUUUUUACUUCAAGCUGGGCAAUGAGCAAAAAGAAUGUUGAUUUGCAUGCAGAAAGGCACAUCAUGCCAUUGUUUUCAAAUUGCUUAAGUUCAUAUAGGCAUUUAUUGUCUGAAUCUCAGUUGGAGAACUCAUACAGUGGAUGGCCUUGGGAUGCCAUGACAAAUUAUGCGGAAGAGUUAUCACCAGUAUCUGAGCACCAAAAUGAAUUGUUCACAUUGUCUCCUGAACUGUUCAGGAAUGCAUUUCUUGUUAUUCAUCAAGCUGGUGGGCAAGGAGUUACCUUGAGAGAACUUUCGCAGGCACUGCAUCCGUUAGCCAUGCAGCUGGUCUUAAUAAUUGUUGACACUCUCAAAAGAUUUCAGCUGGCUGUUAAGGUCAAUGCAUAUGAUGGCGUUCAGAUUGUGGACUCAUUACAUUCGUCAAAGUAUCAUAUAGCUACACUUGCAGAAUGUGAUAGUUGCUGCUGUACAGAUCCUCCAACUUCUCAAUUUGUUGAUAAUGAAAACACAAAAAAUCUACUGAAAGAGAAGCAUACCAAGCCUAUUAAUUUUCCUGGUCCAAUAAAAAUGCUUGGUGAUGGGCACACAGUGACAGUAAUUAAUGUUCAAAGCAAGUUGAGCCCACCUUACAUGCACAGCAAAGAUCCUGGGGAUGCGGAAAGGUUAUCUACUCCAGGAGAGAACAAUAAGGAGAGUAGUUUCUAUCAUAAUUGUGAAAGGCAUUGUUAUCAGCCUAUAUUACCAUGGAUAAAUGGUGAUGGUAGUACUAAUAGCACUCUCUAUGAAGGUUUAAGUCGCCGAGUUAUUGGUUAUGUCAUGCACUAUCCAGGACUAUCGGAGGAAGAUGUUAUCCGUAGGAUGGAUGUAUUGAAUCCUCAGACUUGCAGGACCCUGCUAGAAAAGCUAACGCUCGAUGGGAACCUUCAUGUUCGGGUUUUUGAAGAACCUGUGCCAAUGGCUCCGACCACACUGCAGGAUCCAGACUUGUGAGGGCAUCAAGAUUUGGAAUGUUUAAAUGUUACCGUCCCCAGAACUGGUAAGGCCAUCUCGUGGUAAGACCAUCUCCGCCGUGUAAAUAGUCGUGCAAAGUACUAUUUUGCACCUGUUUGCAGAGUAAAAUUUAAAAUAGAGAGUAAGAUAGGGAGUGGAAUAGAGAGUCUGCUGGUCUGCUGGAGAGCUAAGGCCCUUAACUGAACCAUCAUCACUUGUCUGUUUCUGAGCCGUGCUUGCUCUAAGGCCGUGCUGAUUGUCGUGCUUAGGAGCAGGCAUAUUAUGGUUGUGCAAAACAUUGUUUUGCACUGUAUAAUUAUUAUUUACAAAGUGGUGUUUGAAAUAGGGAAUGUGAUAUGAGGUGUGAUAGGGAGGCUGGAGAUAGACUAAGACUCAUUUUCAGGCCGCCGUUGUCUCUGGGUUCUGUCGUCGUAGGUUCAUGCAUGAAAGAUGUACCUUAGGUUAUGUCCAACAGCUUACGAAUCAGUUCGCACAUGCGCAUUUUGUGCGACCACAUCCCAUUAUGUAUACUUCCAGCAAAUUGUCGCGUAAAAUGUGUGGUCGUUCGUGUGGCCACACGUUCUCUUCUCUGCAGGAGAGGGUGCGCACUCUCAUGCUCGAGACACUAUAAAUGGGCGUUUUUUGUUGCGCAAAUGAGCGCCAUGGCGCAUGCGCUUUCGCAUUCGGCCACCACUGGACAUAACCUUAGUCUCUAGUAAUUUACUCAUCUUUCAUUUUAAAUCUCACUCUAUAAAUAGUGCAGUUCAUAAAAUAAUAUUUUUACAUGGUCAUAUGCAUAAUAUGGUGACCAUAGCCUUACUAGAGGUAGUAUCCGUAGUUGUUUACUCAAAAGGAGCAUGAUGAAAGCAUCUACACCUUAAUUUGAUUUUGAUAGUUAAAGAUAACAUAAUUAUUAUGACUAAGGGUGUUUUAUAGAAACACUAUUAUAAUGUCUGCGCAUUGCGAUGUACAUCAAUCACAUUUGAUGCUAUAGUGCAAUAGUUAUACGACAUUCGAGGGAGCUGUGUCAAGUUAGUGUGAUGGAUGCUCCCCAUAAAAAAAUUAAAAUUAAAUUAGAUCCUAUCAUAAAAAAUAAAAUUAAAAUUAAAGUGGACAUAUUUCCCACAUACUGUAUAUUAAUUUGUAGAUACCACACUUCAUAUUAUCCAAAAGGCCUCAAAAGUCUGAGAAAGAUAUGCGUUAAAAAGAAAAUCUAACCUUUUUUUAAGAGCAGGCUCGGUUCCUCAUCAUUCUUCAGCUAGCGAGGUGGUAUUAUUCUAGUGUUACACUGUAUGUAUGUGUCUUCGUGUCGAGUUAGGGUUGGGUGUUUUCUCAUGGCCUGUUAUAGGUAAUGGUCUGAUGGUUAGGCCAUCUCUAGCAGACCGUGUAAAUAGCCGGACAAAGUACUAUUUUGCACUGCAUAUUAUAUUGUUUGUAGAAUUGAGACCUAAGAGCAUUUCCAACAAUGUGACCUAUAAAAUUGCCCUAUAAUUUAAAAAUGAGUAUAUUUUGUAGAAUUUAGGGCACGGACAAAAUACCUCGCUCCAACAGUAAAACCUUAAAUCUAGAUUAUAGGACAGCCCACUACGGUGUUUUUGAGGCACUUCAGACAAUGCCCUAUAAUUUUUUGACCAAGGAGAGCAAGCAGAGGGUGAAUGCAAGUGCGAACUUGGCCUCAACCUCCUCAUGAAGAGGCAAGCAUUUGGACACUUCACAAUAGCAUGGCGAGCGCACAUGGCACGACACAACAUACGUAGAGGCAGGGCCUAGCAGGUUCAUGAAACCGUUCGAUUGAUCCGGCUAAUUGGCCAGUAAAUCAGUAAUCGGUGGCGGCUCGUAAGGCCGUAUCACCGAUUUACCCAUUUAAAUUUAGAAUAUUUUGUAAAUUUUGAAAAAAUUGAUGCCAGUUUUUUAUAAAUACUAUAAAGUAUUUUAAGACUUUUCACAUAAACCAAAUUUGAAAACACUUAAAAGAUUUAAAAAUAAAAAUCAAACAAGUUUCAAAAAUAAAAAGGGAGAUAAACCAGACGAUUUUGCUAACUAGCCUCCCCUGUUAGCCAAUUAAUCGGGCCCAAAUAGAGAUAAACCGAGGGUGGCCUCUAGUAGCAAGGUGUCGGGUAUCAUAAUUAGUGUACUUGGAUUGUGUCCCUAAGCAUACCUAACACCUGAGUAUUAAGAAAUCAAACAAAAAAACGCACUCCUUGAGGCCACUAAGGGUUGAAUCACGAUUCGCCCGGACCCCCGCUCAACGGUCGCUCAAAACUACGUCUUGCCCGAGCCCAUCCUCGUGUGAAGGUUGUGCCCGUGUGAAAUCCUUGACUCGGCCGAGGGCCCCACUUUACAGAAAUCAAUUUCUGUCUCACCUAAGCUCAUCUCGAACGAAGGACAGCCUCGAGCCCGGUAUCGACCAAAGUUCUCGGGGACCAUGAAGACAUGCGCAUUAAAUGCGAUGAUACAAAUAUCUGCUCCAUGUGACACCACAGUCAACAGAGGACGAUGGGACAGCGGUCCCAUCUACUUUCACCGACUAAGAUGACGCACGCCCACGAAAAUCGGACGCUGCUCCCCCACUCUGGUCGCUGUUCCCAAGCAACUCUGAAUGGGACGUGCAAAUGUCUAAAGCACAGCCUCACCCUCGGGAGAGAACUCCACCUAGCCUGAAGAUGGCUUCCGACUCGGGAGGAAACUCCGCCUCGCCCGAGUUUGGUCUCGGUCAACUGCCCUGGCAGUAGGGCAUACCACCAACUCCACGCGAAUCGCGCAGAAGACCACUCCGAUAUGCCAAGGACUUGAAUAUGACUUCACAGCAAAGAAUUGAGAUUACAAAGCCUGAACUACUUGGGAGCAAUGAAGAGGCCAAUGUAGAUGCUUUUCGAGUAGAUGGAGCUUUUGAUGUUAACUCCAAGAAUGAUAUAUCUAUUCAUGAUUAUCUUCCAGCAAUGAAAGCCAUAUGUGAUAAACUUGAAGAAGCAAGUGGAAAGGCUCUUGUUGUGUCAGAUAUAAAAGUUGAUCUCGACUACAGGAUGGCAUAUGGGCACAGAGCAUGGAGAAAUGUAUUGCAUAGAUUAAUAGAUGCACGACUUGUGGAGAUAUUUGAUGUCGAAGAUGAUGAUAAGGUUGUCCGUUGUUUGCGUCUACUGAAAAAUUUUGAUCCAAAUGAGUUUCAGCCAAAAAGUAUAGCUUCAAAUUUUAAAUUUGUUAAAAAAGGUCAGGCAACUGAUCAAAUUUUGGAACUUCCAUUAGAGAACUGUAUAUAUGAUAUGAUCAGUAGCCAAGGGACAAAAGGUAUUACACUUGUUGAGGUACUUCUCUGAACCUUGAAUUGGCGCAACUUUGUGGUAUUAUGUGUUUUAAAUUAUAUGCUAGACUGGUUCUUACUUUAUCCUACUAUUGCAGUGCUGUUGUGCUUCCUUUUGAGUUAUACAUGUUACGUUACCUAAUUUCUUCUUCAAUACUUGAUUAUGGUUGCCUAAACCUGAAGAUAUUUGUUUCGCUUGGCUGUGGACUAGUUUCAGCAAUAGGUUAUUUUAUUUAGGGACAUGUUAACAUGAAUAAUUUCUCAUGCAAAGGUAGAGCAGCUUCCGGGUACAGUAAUGGCAUUUUUACUUGACCGGUUGACCCAAUAAGCCAAUAUAAUUAUUAAUCGGUCAAUGCGCUAAUCGGCAGCCCACCGCGUAGCCUAACGUUAAAUGGCCAAAAAAAACCCUGCAAGAUUGUAAUAACCACAAUAAAGAAACAUUGACACAUUCCUCUUACAGUAACCAUGUAUUCUUCUUGAAUAAUGUAGUGUCACUCUUGUUCCCGAUAAUGUACAAAAAUUAUGAACUGUACAAAUGGUAGAAAGAUAUAGUGCAACAGUUAUAAAUUGUUCUUGCUUAUCAUUCAUCUCCAAAUAAUAAUUAUAUUGGUUUCACUAGACUGUAGUCUGGGAUGACCAGUAUAUAGACCAAUCAAUUUACAUACAAGAUACAAAAACAAAUCGGUACAACUACAAAAAAAAAGAGAAACAGUAAUAAGGAGAAAACGAAUUAUACCUAUAUGGCACAUUGACCGCGAUUAUGUACACCGCAGCGUCAUCCCUUUAUUGGAUAUGGUUUUCACCACUAAACUAAUUUCAUGGCUUCAUCUCUGUAUCUUGGCAAUAAAACCUUGGCCUGGAAAGCUUUGCCACCAAGCCUGUUCUCUGCAGCAUGCACUUACUAACCAAUCUAAUGGCACCUUCCCGUGUUUUCGUCCCAAGCUUUUGUACUCAGUUCUGCUCAGACAAUAACUGUAACAGUAUAGGGUGAAAGAAUAAGUUCAUAUCUUGUGUCAGUGUCUACUGUGCUUGUGCUCCUUAUUUUCUGAGAAAGGGCUUCUGACAGACGAGUAGCUUUUCAUCACUAGCUAUGUCAAGAUCUAAAAUACGGGCAUCCCAUCUGAGUUGAGUAACAACAGAUCUUGCCGCUUCAAUAAGAGGGGCGGUGUCACGGAUUAUGACCCAGCCCUACAUCAACAUCAAACAAGCAGGAAAAAAAUUAGACAACACUUGUAUAAAAUAAUCUUACGACUGGAGACAGAUGCGUACAGCUCCACACGUGUGGAAGUAUGCAGUGCAAGACUAGUCUGAUAAUUCUGCCGCAUUCCUUCAUCAUGGGUAAAUGGCAAUUGUGCAUCAUACUUGUACAGUAAAUAAAUGUAGUAUAGCAUAGGGAUAGGGUAUCUUUCUUUCCCAUUGCAAAACCUAAUGACAAACCUCUGCACUAGUAGAGUCCCCAUAGCCCAUGAUCACAAAGAUAGCUGUACCAAAGUAUAUGGCCAUACACGAGCGACAGUUUUUUAAAAAAACUAAACCAAGCUAAAUGUACUAUUUUUAUGAAUGUCCCUGGCUCUUUCCAUAUGGUGCAAUCAAGAAAAAAAAUACUUAUUGUUUUAAAAAGCAACACUAAUUAGAAUGGCACCAUAUGAACCAUUUUACGGAUUGUACCGUUUAGAAAUUAGAAUCAUGAAUACCCAGAAACAGUGCAGUGUUAGGCCUUAUGUUCUACAUGCUUCCAAGAACCUUGAAAUGAAUUAUAGACAUGAUUCACGGCUGAAUAAUGGAUUCCAAAUCAGUGUCAUUAACCAAAUUUUCAUUACCUCUGGUCGUAGGAUGCGAUCAACUUCCAAGAAUAUGUCAAGAGUAGAACAUCUAUGCUUGUGGGUCUUCUCAAGUGAUAGAAAGCCAUCAGCAUGCACCAUAUCAUAUGUUCUUGGGCACAAUAGUAAGCUCUGAUAUACACUUUCCAGCACAUUGGGCAUGCAGAGUUUCCCAGAUUUCUAAAGUACCGCCAAGUGGAAAGACCACGGCAGACAAGUGUUGCUGAAUAACAAAUCAUGAUGUGAAGGGUCAUUUUGAAGUUCCUAGUGGAAAACAGACCCAUGAGCAAAAGCUCCUUGCCUUGAACGUUGAACCCCAGAAUUCAUUGAUGAUCAAUAUAUGGAGAAGCUUGAAUACAUAUCAUUAUGUGAUAGAGAUUUUGUUUGCUUAUGUCAUCUGAUUGGGAUGAUAAUUUGUUUAUCUUAAAAUUAGUAACUAAUGUCUAAUACAACUUCUGAUUAGAUUGGCAAACAUCUUGGACUCAACAAUUCAAAAAAACUUCAUAAACGAGUAUCAUCCAUGCUAAAAAAAUUCAACCUAACAUGGGAAGCAGAAGUUCCAGACAAGACAUCGCAGUACCGAAUUUGGACUUCAAAAAACUUCUCACUCUACAAAGCUGGUACUGCUCUGCAAAAUUUUGAGGCACUCUCAGAAGACUGUGAUGAUUGUUCGGAUUUGUGGUCCCUAGUUUCAUCUAAAGAUUUGGAAUCACCUAGUUCACAGGGCAAAUUACUCUUGCUUGAAGAAGAGAACCAUGACAAACCAAUUGGACAUCAUAUCCAGAACAACCGUGAUGCUUCUGCUGCAGUUUCCCAGUUAGUUGAAGAAGAUAAACUUGCUUCGAAUCAGAGGAGGCGUCGGUGCCGUCCAUUAUCUUCUGAUGAUCAACGCCAUAGAAGGAUUCUACACAUGUUAAAGAAGAAGAAAUUUGUACUGAAGGUGGAGUUACAUAAAUGGUUAGAACGACUUGAAAAGAAGGACGGGAAAAUAAUGGAUAGGAAGACAUUGACUCGCACGUUGAAUAAGCUUCAGCAAGAGGGAAGCUGUAAAUGUAUCAAAGUCAGUGCUCCAUUGGUGACAAAUUAUGCUCGCAGUCGUCUCUUUGAUGUAAUACUGCAUUCUUCUGUUGGAGACGUGUCACCAGAACUUGUGGAGCAAUUUAGGACCAGACAAAGGAACUUUGACACCGAAUCUCGCGCAGGUGCAGCAGCUAAAGUGAAGCAAAAUCAACAUAUGACUGCCAUACCUGGUCUGAGGAUUUCACGCAGAGUUAAAGUUUACAAACCAUUACUAUUAGAAGCUAUGUAUGCAAAUGGAUUCAUAGGCGCAAAGAUGAUUCGAGCAAAGUUAUUUCAUAAAUUUCUGUGGGCUUAUGUCAAUUCUUUGCCAAAUUGGUGCAAUGCAUUUGGUUGUACCAAAGCAGGGCAGUAUGAUAAGAGCCUUAAUCAAUCAUGCCUGUCAUUUUCUAUGGAAGCAGCUAUGAAAGAAAUGCCCCUUGAACUCUUUCUACAAAUUGUUGGGUCAGCAAAGAAGAUUGAUAACAUGAUAACGUUGUGUAGGCUUGGAAAAACACUUUCAGAAAUACCUACAGAGGAAUACAAUCAGAUCUUGGAUACUCAUGCCAAUGGCCGACUCUCACGUUUAGUAAAUAUUUUGGACAAGCUCAAGCUGGUUCAGCUUGCAAAAGAAUUCUUAGAAGAUGCUGGUGUAUCGUCAAAUGCCAUGUAUACACAUUCGAUGGAGCUCAGGCCUUACAUCGAAGAACCCAUGCCAAGAAUUCUUCCAUCUUCCCAACUGAACAAUCAUCGGAAAAUUCGGCAUGAUUUUGUACUUUCAAAGAAAGAGUUUGUUGAUUCUUAUUGGGAAACACUAGAGUGCUGUUAUUUAACAGCUGGUUUGGCUGACCCGUUAAGUGCCUUCCCUGGCAGUUCUGUCCCGGAGGUUUGUCUCAUCUGUUGUACAUCAUUGAUGCAUAGGAUUAUCGCAUACGUUGAAUAAAUGUACUUAGCGCCUGUUUGUUUGCUCCCCAACUUACAUAAGGUAGCUUCUGGGCAUGGGCAGUACGGUGAGAAACACCACCCUUGAUGCCGAAAUAAGUUUCCCAUAUUUGUGUUUACCAUACUGCCCUUGGGCCAUAAGCUAUCUUAUAUAAGUAUGGAUGAAAACAAACAGACCCUUCGAAUUUGAAUUA